RNAcentral lists this transfer RNA (87 nucleotides) under Candidatus Limimorpha avicola. RNAcentral describes it as "tRNA-Ser". It matches the Rfam family "tRNA". From Rfam's summary of the family: Transfer RNA (tRNA) molecules are approximately 80 nucleotides in length. Their secondary structure includes four short double-helical elements and three loops (D, anti-codon, and T loops). Further hydrogen bonds mediate the characteristic L-shaped molecular structure. tRNAs have two regions of fundamental functional importance: the anti-codon, which is responsible for specific mRNA codon recognition, and the 3' end, to which the tRNAs corresponding amino acid is attached (by aminoacyl-tRNA synthetases). tRNAs cope with the degeneracy of the genetic code in two manners: having more than one tRNA (with a specific anti-codon) for a particular amino acid; and 'wobble' base-pairing, i.e. permitting non-standard base-pairing at the 3rd anti-codon position. Lineage: Bacteria; Pseudomonadati; Bacteroidota; Bacteroidia; Bacteroidales. The record is from RNAcentral.
GGAGAGGUGGGUGAGUGGCUGAAACCAACAGUUUGCUAAACUGUCGUAUCUAACAAGAUACCGGGGGUUCGAAUCCCCCCUUCUCCG